This 254-nucleotide ribosomal RNA is filed under the name Achromobacter sp. ACM01. RNAcentral describes it as "partial 23S ribosomal RNA". It matches the Rfam family "Bacterial large subunit ribosomal RNA", at positions 1089 to 1344 of the family's 2925-position model. The record is from RNAcentral. RNAcentral also lists the same sequence under 1 other name. Lineage: Bacteria; Pseudomonadati; Pseudomonadota; Betaproteobacteria; Burkholderiales; Alcaligenaceae.
ACAGUCAGGAGGUUGGCUUAGAAGCAGCCAUCCUUUAAAGAAAGCGUAAUAGCUCACUGAUCGAGUCGUCCUGCGCGGAAGAUGUAACGGGGCUAAGCGAUAAACCGAAGCUGCGGGUGUGCACUUUGUGCACGCGGUAGGAGAGCGUUCUGUAAGCCUGCGAAGGUGGCUUGUAAAGGCUGCUGGAGGUAUCAGAAGUGCGAAUGCUGACAUGAGUAGCGAUAAAGGGGGUGAAAAGCCCCCUCGCCGUAAGU